AUGUAGAAUAUUUUAUAGAUGGAGC
Molecule: non-coding RNA, 25 nt
Filed under: Cricetulus griseus (Chinese hamster)
Lineage: Eukaryota; Metazoa; Chordata; Mammalia; Rodentia; Cricetidae
Source: RNAcentral